GCAGGUGUAGUUUAGUGGUAAAACUCCAGCCUUCCAAGCUGACUAUGAGGGUUCGAUUCCCUUCACCUGCU
This 71-nucleotide transfer RNA is filed under the name Amygdalobacter nucleatus. RNAcentral describes it as "tRNA-Gly". It matches the Rfam family "tRNA". Rfam says of the family: Transfer RNA (tRNA) molecules are approximately 80 nucleotides in length. Their secondary structure includes four short double-helical elements and three loops (D, anti-codon, and T loops). Lineage: Bacteria; Bacillati; Bacillota; Clostridia; Eubacteriales; Oscillospiraceae. The record is from RNAcentral.